RNAcentral lists this ribosomal RNA (433 nucleotides) under uncultured bacterium. Its description in RNAcentral is "bacterial SSU rRNA". It matches the Rfam family "Bacterial small subunit ribosomal RNA", at positions 957 to 1383 of the family's 1533-position model. The record is from RNAcentral.
GAACGCGAAGAACCUUACCUGGGCUUGACAUACACCGGACCGCAUCUGAAAGGAUGCUUCCCUUCGGGGUCGGUGAACAGGUGCUGCAUGGCUGUCGUCAGCUCGUGCCGUGAGGUGUUGGGUUAAGUCCCGCAACGAGCGCAACCCUCGCCCUUAGUUGCCAUCAGGUUAUGCUGGGAACUCUAAGGGGACUGCCAGUGAUAAGCUGGAGGAAGGUGGGGAUGAUGUCAAGUCAUCAUGGCCCUUACACCCAGGGCUACACACGUACUACAAUGGGCCGGUACAGAGGGCUGCAAGACUGCAAAGUGGGAGCCAAUCCCUAAAACCGGUCUCAGUUCAGAUUGAAGUCUGCAACUCGACUUCAUGAAGGUGGGAAUCGCUAGUAAUCGCAGAUCAGCACGCUGCGGGUGAUUACGUUCCCGGGGUCUGGUAC